GGAGAGAUGGCUGAGUGGACGAAAGCGGCCGCCUCGAAAGCGGUUAUUGUGGUUGUACUGCAAUCGGGGGUUCGAAUCCCCCUCUCUCUA
This 90-nucleotide transfer RNA is filed under the name Melampsora pinitorqua Mpini7. RNAcentral's name for it is "tRNA-Ser (CGA) (tRNA-Ser-CGA-1-1)". It matches the Rfam family "tRNA". From Rfam's summary of the family: Transfer RNA (tRNA) molecules are approximately 80 nucleotides in length. The record is from RNAcentral. Lineage: Eukaryota; Fungi; Basidiomycota; Pucciniomycetes; Pucciniales; Melampsoraceae.